GGUUUUGUAGUGUAGCGGUUAUCACAGCGGAUUCUGAUCUGAUUUCCAAUCGGAAUUUCCGUUAACCCAAGUUCGAAUCUUGGCAAGACCU
RNAcentral lists this transfer RNA (91 nucleotides) under Heterodermia speciosa. It matches the Rfam family "tRNA". From Rfam's summary of the family: Transfer RNA (tRNA) molecules are approximately 80 nucleotides in length. The record is from Rfam by way of RNAcentral. Lineage: Eukaryota; Fungi; Ascomycota; Lecanoromycetes; Caliciales; Physciaceae.